Molecule: ribosomal RNA, 404 nt
Filed under: uncultured bacterium
Lineage: Bacteria
Description: bacterial SSU rRNA
Rfam family: Bacterial small subunit ribosomal RNA
Source: RNAcentral
UAAGGAAUAUUGCACAAUGGGCAAAAGCCUGAUGCAGCAACGCCGCGUGCGCGAUGAAGGCCUUCGGGUCGUAAAGCGCUUUUCUGGGGGAAGAGUAAGGACGGUACCUCAGGAAUAAGGCUCGGCUAACUACGUGCCAGCAGCCGCGGUAACACGUAGGAGCCAAGCGUUAUCCGAAUUCACUGGGCGUAAAGCGCGUGUAGGCGGCUUGGUAAGUUGGAUGUGAAAGCUCCUGGCUCAACUGGGAGAGGACGUUCAAUACUGCCGGGCUAGAGGGCGACAGAGGGAGGUGGAAUUCCCGGUGUAGUGGUGAAAUGCGUAGAUAUCGGGAGGAACACCAGUGGCGAAAGCGGCCUCCUGGGUCGCACCUGACGCUCAGACGCGAAAGCUAGGGGAGCGAACGG